This 556-nucleotide long non-coding RNA is filed under the name Carica papaya (papaya). Its description in RNAcentral is "long non-coding RNA (CPAP_LNC010917)". Lineage: Eukaryota; Viridiplantae; Streptophyta; Magnoliopsida; Brassicales; Caricaceae. The record is from RNAcentral.
CUGUUAUAACUUUUUAUGUGCUGGCUAAUACAAACUCCCAAAUACCACUGUGGUGACACUAUUGGUAAUUUACGGCUUGCUCAACCAUAAUAGAUUUGUGGUGAGCUACACCAUAGCUGAUUUGUAACUCGCCACACCAUAGUAGAUUUACGGCUCGCCACACCAUAACACAAUUUAUGACUAUGGCCAUUGCCAACCACAAUGGUCCUAAAGACUAUAAUAAUGACUGUAUUUCACCAUAGUGGUGUUAAGAUUUCCUGCGCACUUUGACCAUGGUCGUGCCAACCACUGUGGUCCUAAAGAGUAUGACCACAACCGUACUUCAACACAGUGGUCCUAAGUUUUAUACGUGCUUUCACGCCAUCAUGUAUAGAGAGUGGUCAUCUCACAUCUUUUCAGAUAAGGUAGGGACAACAGAAGUAGAUAAAAUAGUCUAAUGGAUUAAUUUAUUUUUCCUAUAUCCAUUCAUGUUUUCAUGCCAUGUCAAGAAUUUCACAUAAUCCCUUCUUAUUUAAUUUAAUUUCAAUUCUUGUUCAUGAAAUAACAAUGCAAACCU